Non-coding RNA from Caerostris darwini, 71 nucleotides. The record is from the annotation of a GenBank genome assembly. Lineage: Eukaryota; Metazoa; Arthropoda; Arachnida; Araneae; Araneidae.
ACCGAAGUCAAGCAUCAUUGGGCGCGGUCAGUACUUGGGUGGGUAACCACAUGGGAACACCGAGUGCCGUU